CAAUAGCGUAUAUUAAAGUUGUUGCAGUUAGAACGCUCGUAGUCGGAUUUCGGGGCGGGCCGACCGGUCUGCCGAUGGGUACGCACUGGUCGGCGCGUCCUUCCUUCCGGAGACCGUGCCUACUCUUAACUGAGCGGGGGCGGGAGACGGAUCGUUUACUUUGAAAAAAUCAGAGUGUUUCAAGCAGGCAGCUCGCUCUUGCAUGGAUUAGCAUGGGAUAAUGAAAUAGGACUUUGGUGCUAUUUUGUUGGUUUCGAACACCGAAGUAAUGAUUAAAAGGGACAGUCGGGGGCACUCGUAUUCCGCAGAGAGAGGUGAAAUUCUCAGACCCGCGGAAGACGAACCACUGCGAAAGCAUUUGCCAGGGAUGUUUUCACUGA
Molecule: ribosomal RNA, 380 nt
Filed under: uncultured eukaryote
Lineage: Eukaryota
Description: partial 18S ribosomal RNA
Rfam family: Eukaryotic small subunit ribosomal RNA
Source: RNAcentral